This 450-nucleotide ribosomal RNA is filed under the name uncultured bacterium. RNAcentral's name for it is "partial 16S ribosomal RNA". It matches the Rfam family "Bacterial small subunit ribosomal RNA", at positions 339 to 795 of the family's 1533-position model. The record is from RNAcentral.
CCUCGGGAGGCAGCAGUGGGGAAUAUUGCGCCAUGGGCGAAAGCCUGACGCAGCGACGCCGCGUGGGUGAUGAAGGCCUUCGGGUUGUAAAGCCCUGUCGGGUGGAACGAACGAUCUGGCGGCGAAUAACCGCCGGGUGUGACGGUACCACCGAAGGAAGCCCCGGCUAACUACGUGCCAGCAGCCGCGGUAAGACGUAGGGGGCGAGCGUUGUUCGGAUUUACUGGGCGUAAAGCGCGAGUAGGCGGCUGAAAGCCCUCGGCUUAACCGAGGUCCCGCAUCCGAUACGGUAUGGCUCGAGUCUAGGAGAGGAAAGCGGAAUUCCCAGUGUAGCGGUGAAAUGCGUAGAUAUUGGGAGGAACACCGGUGGCGAAGGCGGCUUUCCGGACUAGUACUGACGCUGAGGCGCGAAAGCUAGGGGAGCGAACGGGAUUAGAUACCCGAGUAGUC